This 157-nucleotide ribosomal RNA is filed under the name Escherichia coli. RNAcentral describes it as "partial 16S ribosomal RNA". It matches the Rfam family "Bacterial small subunit ribosomal RNA", at positions 1 to 151 of the family's 1533-position model. Lineage: Bacteria; Pseudomonadati; Pseudomonadota; Gammaproteobacteria; Enterobacterales; Enterobacteriaceae. The record is from RNAcentral.
AAAUUGAAGAGUUUGAUCAUGGCUCAGAUUGAACGCUGGCGGCAGGCCUAACACAUGCAAGUCGAACGGUAACAGAAAGCAGCUUGCUGCUUUGCUGACGAGUGGCGGACGGGUGAGUAAUGUCUGGGAAACUGCCCGAUGGAGGGGGAUAACUACU